RNAcentral lists this ribosomal RNA (301 nucleotides) under uncultured bacterium. RNAcentral describes it as "partial 16S ribosomal RNA". It matches the Rfam family "Bacterial small subunit ribosomal RNA", at positions 509 to 807 of the family's 1533-position model. The record is from RNAcentral.
CAGCCGCCGCGGUAAUACGGAGGAUCCAAGCGUUAUCCGGAUUUAUUGGGUUUAAAGGGUGCGUAGGCGGCCUGUUAAGUCAGGGGUGAAAGACGGUAGCUUAACUAUCGCAGUGCCCUUGAUACUGAUGGGCUUGAAUGUACUGGAGGUAGGCGGAAUGUGACAAGUAGCGGUGAAAUGCAUAGAUAUGUCACAGAACACCAAUUGCGAAGGCAGCUUACUAUGGUAUGAUUGACGCUGAGGCACGAAAGCGUGGGGAUCAAACAGGAUUAGAUACCCCAGUAGUCCCUGUCUCUUAUAC